RNAcentral lists this ribosomal RNA (497 nucleotides) under uncultured bacterium. Its description in RNAcentral is "partial 16S ribosomal RNA". It matches the Rfam family "Bacterial small subunit ribosomal RNA", at positions 28 to 507 of the family's 1533-position model. The record is from RNAcentral.
GACGAACGCUGGCGGCGUGCCUAAUACAUGCAAGUAGAACGCUGAAGCUUGGUGCUUGCACCGAGCGGAUGAGUUGCGAACGGGUGAGUAACGCGUAGGUAACCUGCCUGGUAGCGGGGGAUAACUAUUGGAAACGAUAGCUAAUACCGCAUAAGAGUAGAUGUUGCAUGACAUUUGCUUAAAAGGUGCAAUUGCAUCACUACCAGAUGGACCUGCGUUGUAUUAGCUAGUUGGUGAGGUAACGGCUCACCAAGGCAACGAUACAUAGCCGACCUGAGAGGGUGAUCGGCCACACUGGGACUGAGACACGGCCCAGACUCCUACGGGAGGCAGCAGUAGGGAAUCUUCGGCAAUGGACGGAAGUCUGACCGAGCAACGCCGCGUGAGGGAAGAAGGUUUUCGGAUCGUAAAGCUCGGUUGUAAGAGAAGAACGAGUGUGAGAGUGGAAAGUUCACACUGUGACGGUAUCUUAACAGAAAGGGACGGCUAACUACGUG